RNAcentral lists this ribosomal RNA (693 nucleotides) under uncultured bacterium. RNAcentral's name for it is "bacterial SSU rRNA". It matches the Rfam family "Bacterial small subunit ribosomal RNA", at positions 1 to 677 of the family's 1533-position model. The record is from RNAcentral.
AAUUCGCCCUUAGAGUUUGAUCCUGGCUCAGGACGAACGCUGGCGGCGCGCUUAACACAUGCAAGUCGAGCGAUAACCAUGGCUUCGGCCAUGGGGAGAGCGGCGAACGGGUGAGUAACACGUGAGCGAUCUGCCCUCGACACUGGGAUAGCCCGGGGAAACCCGGAUUAAUACCGGAUAGCCUCACGGGUCUACGGGCUCGUGAGAAAAGAUGGCUUCGGCAUUCGGUCGAGGAGGAGCUUGCGGCGGAUUAGCUUGUUGGUGAGGUAACGGCUCACCAAGGCGACGAUCCGUAGCUGGUCUGAGAGGACGAUCAGCCACACUGGGACUGAGACACGGCCCAGACUCCUACGGGAGGCAGCAGUGGGGAAUCUUGCGCAAUGGGCGAAAGCCUGACGCAGCGACGCCGCGUGAGGGAAGAAGGCCUUCGGGUUGUAAACCUCUUUCAGGAGGGACGAAGCUACUCGGGUUAAUAGCCCAGAGGGUGACGGUACCUCCAGAAGAAGCCCCGGCUAACUACGUGCCAGCAGCCGCGGUAAUACGUAGGGGGCAAGCGUUGUCCGGAAUCAUUGGGCGUAAAGCGCGUGUAGGCGGCCAGAUAAGUCCGCUGUGAAAACUCGAGGCUCAACUUCGAGCUGUCGGUGGAAACUAUCUGGCUAGAGUCCGGAAGAGGAGAAUGGAAUUCCUGGUGUA